GGGUGUGUAGCUCAGUUGGUAGAGCAGCUGACUCUUAAUCAGCGGGUCCACGGUUCGAGUCCGUGCCCACCCA
Asticcacaulis sp. YBE204 is the source of this 73-nucleotide transfer RNA. It matches the Rfam family "tRNA". Rfam says of the family: Transfer RNA (tRNA) molecules are approximately 80 nucleotides in length. NCBI's taxonomy places the organism in Bacteria, Pseudomonadati, Pseudomonadota, Alphaproteobacteria, Caulobacterales, Caulobacteraceae. The record is from Rfam.